AUGUCAGGCACUUCAGAGACGAGGAGUCAGCACUAUUCAGAGCUCCAAGACAAUGGCCAGGAGCUUCCUCAGUCACCCUCAGCACCCCUUGCUGGCCUUGGAGGAGGCAGCCACAUCUCAGCAGCAUCGCUAUUCCCUAAGCAAGAUGUUACCCAGCAUACCACCGCAUCGCAGGCACCAACGCACCUGUGGGAGAACAUGCUACAUGCCCCCCACACACCGUGCCAUGCCCCCUCUGAGCACCCUGCUCCAGGAAGACGCUGGAAAGCAGUGACAGUGCAGAGAAGUGCAGGAAAGAGCCAAAGGCUGGAAGCGCUGCCUCCCCCCCCCCCCCGCCCCCGGGCUGCCUUUGGGACCACUCGCCUCCCAAAUCCCCCCGCGCGGAGCCCCGCUGCCCGGGGCAGCCGCUCCAGCUGGGAACGCCAGACCGCAGCCGCCUCCUUCUCGCAUGGCCCUGUCCGGAUUGCCAGGGCGGAUCGGGGCCCUUUGCCCCCUGCCGGGGCAGAGGAGGGGGGGUCUGCUCCGAACGGGAAGGGACGUGGGGACUUUUUUUUUUUUAUUAUUGUUAUUAUUUAAUUCCCAAGGUCGUAGGAUUUACAGCCCGCGCUUACGUACUAUCAUCAGACACAGCCAAAUAAAAAUGAUAGAUUUCUGCGCUUGCUUUACA
This 667-nucleotide long non-coding RNA is filed under the name Apteryx haastii (Great spotted kiwi). RNAcentral's name for it is "lncRNA (ENSAHAG00000018504.1)". Lineage: Eukaryota; Metazoa; Chordata; Aves; Apterygiformes; Apterygidae. The record is from RNAcentral.